RNAcentral lists this ribosomal RNA (482 nucleotides) under uncultured bacterium. RNAcentral describes it as "partial 16S ribosomal RNA". It matches the Rfam family "Bacterial small subunit ribosomal RNA", at positions 30 to 507 of the family's 1533-position model. The record is from RNAcentral.
AUUGAACGCUGGCGGCAUGCUUUACACAUGCGAGUCGAACGGUAACAGGCCGCAAGGUGCUGACGAGUGGCGAACGGGUGAGUAAUGCAUCGGAACGUGCCCAGUCGUGGGGGAUAACUACUCGAAAGAGUAGCUAAUACCGCAUACGAUCUAUGGAUGAAAGCGGGGGACCGUAAGGCCUCGCGCGAUUGGAGCGGCCGAUGUCAGAUUAGGUAGUUGGUGGGGUAAAGGCUCACCAAGCCAACGAUCUGUAGCUGGUCUGAGAGGACGACCAGCCACACUGGGACUGAGACACGGCCCAGACUCCUACGGGAGGCAGCAGUGGGGAAUUUUGGACAAUGGGCGCAAGCCUGAUCCAGCAAUGCCGCGUGCAGGAAGAAGGCCUUCGGGAUGUAAACUGCUUUUGUACGGAACGAAACGGCUCUGGUUAAUACCCGGGGCUAAUGACGGUACCGUAAGAAUAAGCACCGGCUAACUACGUG